This is a long non-coding RNA of Anolis carolinensis (green anole), 2905 nucleotides long. RefSeq lists it as uncharacterized. The transcript has 2 exons. The record is from RefSeq and is a predicted model, not a curated record. Lineage: Eukaryota; Metazoa; Chordata; Lepidosauria; Squamata; Anolidae.
UCUGGAGAGACCGGGCUCCGACAGAGACGCAGCUUUGUUCCACGGAGGCAGCCCUUUCCGAUACAUUAUAUAUAUAAUAUACGCCCUUUGACAGCUAAGACUAGCUAUGGCGAUGAUCUACAAGGCUUGAAGGGAUACAUCUCUGUUGAAGACGAAAUGCUUCACAAAACGAGCAGCGUGUUUGCUUGGGAUGCCACAAUUCCCACACCUGGCAGCCAAUGGUCCUUUCGGGUGGAGUUUGUGACUCCACUCCACUGAAUUCUAUGCCGGGUGUUAAGACCGUUAAAGGCUGACAUCAAUUUCAGCUGAAAUUAAAUAGAAUACCUCAGUGGCUUCUGCUUCGACUUGGUGAGUUAUAUUCUGGAAAUUACUGGCUUCUUUUUCUCACCAGGCUUAACCCACAGCUUGGAUCUCACUAUCCAAUGCUGCUCUAAAUUGCUCGUUAACAUUUUGAACAAGCAAACAUACAGAGAAGUUGGAAAGUGAGCACAUGGGGAAUGGGGCUUGGCAAUGCUGGCAGGAGGCAAUGGAGGUCAACAAGUUAGAGGAUAUGCACUUUAAUUUAGUUCAGAAACAUUACAGUAAACAUGUAGAUAAACAGCAGCUCUGUUAACACAAUAGAAAGAUCUCACUGUAUUUUAAUCUCCUGGUGUUUCUAUAAAUAAAGGAAUUAAUUUUUAUAAUGUGGCCCCUGUAGGCUGGUUCAACACAGCUUUCUAAUGCAGCUUGAACUACAUUAAACGGCAUUAUAUGAUUCGACAGUGGCCAUACAGUGCCAGUCAAACUGCAUUAUAUGGCAGUAUAGGACCAGCCUUAGACAAAACUUCCACUUGAACAAAAAAGGUCAUGUAAGGCCUCUCAUAAAGAGUCUGUCUCUUCUCAGAUGACCAGCACAUGUCACAAGAUGUGCAAUUGCUCUUGAAGAAACUCCGCUCUUCACAUACCCACAUCAGAAAUUCAGUAUCAGCCUUUCACCCACUACACCAGGAUGCACAAAGAUUUUAUUGUGUCACAGAAAUUCAGCCUACAGGCUCCCAAAUGACUUAAUGACCUGCCAAUAAUAUCUUACCAUGUUUACUGGGAUGUAUGUGCUAAACAGAAACAUUGUGACUCCUUCAGCAGCACUAUGUGUAACUGGCUGUUAGGGAGCCAAUCUUCAGCCCAAAGUAGCAGAGUAUCUUGCUAGCUCUAAUCAAAGCUUGAGAAAGCUACUUUUGGACUAUAACGCACCAGAUUCCCACAGAUGGCUGGCAUAUUUUGGGAGUUGUGGUUCAGAAGUGUAACUUUCUCAGGAUCAUUUAGAACACUAUAGUCUUUAGUUUUUUGUUUUUUUAAAAAAAAUGUUUUAUUAAUUUAUCAAUCCAAAUGUACAAGCUCACAUUUUCCUCAUUCUACAAUAUCUCAAACACAUCACGUUGCAUACAAUCUGACAGCAAAAAAAAAACAAAACAAAAACAAGAACAUCCCCAAGCAUAUUUCCCAUCAGUCUAUUAACUUUUCCAUUACAACUUCACUAUAUAUCUCUCUACUACACACCCUUCAUCUACCUAUACAUGUUUUAUUUUCAAUAUUAUUAUUAUUAAUUUAUAAUUCAAAAUGUAUAAGUAUACAUUCUUUCCUCAUUUUACAGUAUCCCAGACAUAUCACAUUGUAUGCAAUCCAACAAUAAAGAAAAAUCAGAAUCAAAACAUAUUUAUGCAUAUUUCUUAUUAGUUUUAGACUUUUCCAUUACAACUUUACUACAUAUCUCUCAACUACACCCUUUUAUUUACUUAUACAUGUUUUAUUUAUUAUUAUUAUUAUCGUUAUUAUUGUUAUACCUUUUCCCCCUCUUCCCUUCCGCUUAUUUUGUGCCACCUUCACCAGGACCAACCAACUCAUACUGUUUCACAAGUCCAAAAUUUCAUUGUCUCUGUUGCUGGCUUAUACCCCUUUCCCUCAUUAAAAAUAUACUCAAUAAAUUUUCUCCAUAUUUUCCAAAAAUCUGUUUGUUUCGAUAUUCCCUUUUUAAUUUUAAUAUUGCAAGUCAGCUUAUCGUUGAUUGCUAUGUUCCAAAUUUCCCUGUACCAUUCUUCUAAUUGGAUUUCCUUUUUUCUUUCCAGUUUUUUGCUAUUAGCAAUUUUGCUGCAGUUAUCAAAUUAGAAACCAAUUCUUUCUCCUCUUGUGAGAGGAUAUUAUCAUGCAUAAGUAAUAAUGCUGAUUUAGGUGUAUUCAUUAUCUCUAUUUUUAUUAUAGAACCAUAUAGUCUUUAGGAGGACUGGCUGGGACAGACGACUGCAAAAGUUUUAAUUUUGGAUUAAUAUUUUUGGAGUGUGAGACAUCAUAACUACCAGAUUCACCUGGCAGCUGGCCAUAACCAUGGGCAGGAUUGGGUACAUUCAUUUAAAAAAGAGUUGACUUUCAGAUCUCACACUUCCUUGACAAUCCUGGUUACACCAUUAAGAAGAGUGAAGCAAACUACCUUAAAAUCUGAUAUCAAGAGGAAGGAAACAGUGGUGGUAACCUCCUAGCUUUUCCUUGUGCAGCUGGUUAAGUAGCCAGCUGCAAUAAAUGACUAUGACCAAGAGGUCAUGAGUUCGAGGCUGGCCCAUGUCGGAGUGAGCACCCGACCAACACCAUAAAAAUUGUCCAGCAGCCAUUUGGAAUGAGGAAGUAUACAUCAAGAUGUCACAGUGGAUGAUGAAGCACCUGUUCCCCCUGUGGCCAGAAUUGAGCAUCCCUCCCAGGAAGCUGGAAGCUGGAGAAUGUUAAAUUGCCUCUGUGUCUCUGUCUUUGUCUAUGUCUCUAUGUUCAUAUGGCAUUGAAUGUUUGCCAUGUAUGUGUACAUUGUGAUCCGCCCUGAGUCCCCUCCGGGGUGAGAAGGGCGGAAUAUAAAUACUGUAAAUGAAUAAAUAAAUAAAUCAUC